This 406-nucleotide ribosomal RNA is filed under the name uncultured bacterium. Its description in RNAcentral is "partial 16S ribosomal RNA". It matches the Rfam family "Bacterial small subunit ribosomal RNA", at positions 30 to 526 of the family's 1533-position model. The record is from RNAcentral.
AUUUAACGCUGGCGGCAGGCUUAAAACAUGCAAGUCGAGCGAGCGGCGGACGGGUGAGUAAUGUCUGGGAAACUGCCUGAUGGAGGGGGAUAACUACUGGAAACGGUAGCUAAUACCGCAUACCAUCCGAUGUUCCCAGAUGGGAUUAGCUAGUAGGUGGGGUAAUGGCUCACCUAGGCGACGAUCCCUAGCUGGUCUGAGAGGAUGACCAGCCAAACUGGAACCGAGACACGGUCCAGACGCCUACGGGAGGAAGCAGUGGGGAAUAUUGCACAAUGGGCGCAAGCCUGAUGCAGCCAUGCCGCGUGUGUGAAGAAGGCCUUCGGGUUGUAAAGCACUUUCAGCGAGGAGGCGUUACUCGCAGAAGAAGCACCGGCUAACUCCGUGCCAGCCGCCGCGGUAAUUC